This 460-nucleotide ribosomal RNA is filed under the name uncultured bacterium. Its description in RNAcentral is "partial 16S ribosomal RNA". It matches the Rfam family "Bacterial small subunit ribosomal RNA", at positions 338 to 795 of the family's 1533-position model. The record is from RNAcentral.
CCUACGGGCGGCAGCAGUGAGGAAUAUUGGUCAAUGGACGAGAGUCUGAACCAGCCAAGUAGCGUGAAGGAUGACUGCCCUAUGGGUUGUAAACUUCUUUUAUAUAGGAAUAAAAUGUUCCACGUGUGGGAUUUUGUAUGUACCAUAUGAAUAAGGAUCGGCUAACUCCGUGCCAGCAGCCGCGGUAAUACGGAGGAUCCGAGCGUUAUCCGGAUUUAUUGGGUUUAAAGGGAGCGUAGGUGGGUUGUUAAGUCAGUUGUGAAAGUUUGCGGCUCAACCGUAAAAUUGCAGUUGAAACUGGCAGUCUGGAGUACAGUAGAGGUGGGCGGAAUUCGUGGUGUAGCGGUGAAAUGCUUAGAUAUCACGAAGAACUCCGAUUGCGAAGGCAGCUCACUGGACUGCAACUGACACUGAGGCUCGAAAGUGUGGGUAUCAAACAGGAUUAGAUACCCCGGUAGUC